UUUCCUGGUUAAUCCAUUCUGAUUUUGGUUUGCUCAUGCUCUUGGCUUCCGGACCGUGGUGCUCAAGGUGGUCUGGCUGUCGCAUGGCAAUAGUUGAGCAUCAAGGGACAACCGAAAUUACUAUGAUGAUAUUUCAGAGAUCCCGGGCCCUGCGGGGAGAUCAGAGGCUGGCAGUGCAUGCAACAGGGCAUGUUAAUCAGGAAAAUUAUCAUUCAAAGACUGGGUCUAUGACGCUUGGGGCGAAGGUCCUAUUUCUCUCAUUCCUCCCUUCCAACCCUCAACUUUCUGGAUCAUGGAUGUAAGUUGUGCACAGUCACAUUUUUUUGGUAAAUGCAUAAGAGCAAUGAACUUGGGAGCAUUUUUAUUCUGGUGUUAGUUUGCUUGAUCUAAAUAUAUGAUGUAUUGAUCUGUACGCUGAUGAACAAUUUGGCUGAUGCAUAUUGUUCCUUAGCUGAUCUGUCUGACCACUACAGUUAUGUGGCUUGAUUGGCUUUGUGACUUGAUUA
Aegilops tauschii subsp. strangulata is the source of this 506-nucleotide long non-coding RNA. RefSeq lists it as uncharacterized. The record is from RefSeq and is a predicted model, not a curated record. Lineage: Eukaryota; Viridiplantae; Streptophyta; Magnoliopsida; Poales; Poaceae.